CAGGCGGGGCUAGCCCCCUCGUUCUAGGAAACACAUUUAGGUGAUUAGCAAAUCAGGCAGAUUAGAAACCACAAGUGAGAAGCAGAGAAAGGAACAGGAAGCCAGAAAGCCAGAAACUGGAGUGCAAGGGGCACCGCCGGGGACAGCAGUCCUUCGGAUCUGUAACCCUUGUGGGUGGCCUCGCGUAGUCCAAGGGCGCAUGCGCGGUGAGAGCUGUCUCGUUUAGAAGCGGGAUGAGGUUGAAUAACGUUUAAUAGUAUAGCUUCGGAAAUAAGGAGGACGAACGAUUAUGAGGAUAGACUUUUCUGGAAAGACGCACAGAAAACAAACUUCCUUCCCAGAGAAGUUGAGUGAGUGCUGUGUUUAUGUGCUACAUUAAAAUAUAGCUUCACCCAGAGAAGAGAGGCCUGCUUGUUCCAGAAAGCAGCUCAUUUCAGAGUCCCUAUGAUAAAGCCCGACAGGAAGCAAAUCUGGUGAAUGAGGACGUGGUGUUGUGCUUCUGCAAGGCAUCCUGCUUUGGUUCAGUGGCUUGGCGUGGCAAGGCACCCUAAGCUGCUGCUUCCUCCAAAGCUGCCCGUAGGAAGAAAAUAAGCGGUUUGACGGAGUAGAAGGGAGUUGAGCGCUGCUAAUUAAAAUGUAAAUACUUCCCAGAGCCAACAGCUUGUAGAAAAGAAAAAAAAAUGAUUGGAAAGAUGGCCCGCAGUAAAACUCCACCAGGCAAAAUAGAUUCUAAGUCUGCAUAAGACCUGAGCCGAUCUGUUGAUGUAAUCAACUCACUGAGAAGUUACUCAUAUCAAGUCAUCCGAAGCCACGCGCAGGAAAACAGGUGGCUGCUGAGGGCCCUGAUUAACACUGAGGACUGUGGACUGCCUGUUUACCAGGUGACGGGGCCUCGGUGGCUCAAAAUGCACGAACAAGAUGUGGGAGGGGCUUUCUGUAACGAGCUGGUCCCUCUGUGAUCUCACAGGCCGCUCCUGAACCUAACAGGCUGGGCAGGCGUCUCUGCUGGCCCUGCAUCUCAGCUGCCUUGCCCCGGUCCUUUGAAGGCUCAAGUCCCCCGUGCCCAUCAGUGCGAUAAAGUGCAACUUAAGCUUGAUGGAGACAACCAAUCCGAACUUUUUGGCAGCCUCUCGCCAUUGACCAUGGCAGUUCUGUUCAGUGACAUUAUGACAUCUGGACCAGAUGAUGUCUCCAGCCUGUUGUGCGUGGUGGGUGUCACCUCCUUGUGUUCAUACAGACUUUCUGUGUAAGCCCCACUUUCCUGCUGGAUUUCCCGGUUGGCUUCACAAGGUGUGGAAUCUACACGGGACCUACCUGCAUGACCUUCAGGAGGCCCAGGCCCACACACUCACACUCAUGCUUCACGGUUCUGUUUUCUACUGUUGGAGACACCCCCCUGUGUAACAUGUAUGUUCAUACACAACGCACAUGUUAUUAUAUGUAAUUACAUGCUUA
Myodes glareolus (Bank vole) is the source of this 1455-nucleotide long non-coding RNA. RefSeq lists it as uncharacterized. NCBI's taxonomy places the organism in Eukaryota, Metazoa, Chordata, Mammalia, Rodentia, Cricetidae. The record is from RefSeq and is a predicted model, not a curated record.